This 490-nucleotide ribosomal RNA is filed under the name uncultured bacterium. RNAcentral describes it as "partial 16S ribosomal RNA". It matches the Rfam family "Bacterial small subunit ribosomal RNA", at positions 29 to 507 of the family's 1533-position model. The record is from RNAcentral.
ACGAACGCUGGCGGCGUGCUUAACACCUGCAAGUCGUACGGUAAGGCCCUUUCGGGGGUACACGAGUGGCGAACGGGUGAGUAACACGUGAGUAACCUGCCCACAACUUUGGGAUAACUUCGGGAAACCGGAGCUAAUACCGGAUAAUAUAUUGAACCGCAUGGUUCAAUAGUGAAAGACGGUUUUGCUGUCACUUAUAGAUGGAUCCGCGCCACAUUAGCUAGUUGGUAAGGUAACGGCUUACCAAGGCAACGAUGCGUAGCCGACCUGAGAGGGUGAUCGGCCACACUGGAACUGAGACACGGUCCAGACUCCUACGGGAGGCAGCAGUAGGGAAUCUUCCGCAAUGGGCGAAAGCCUGACGGAGCAACGCCGCGUGAGUGAUGAAGGUCUUCGGAUCGUAAAACUCUGUUAUUAGGGAAGAACAAAUGUGUAAGUAACUAUGCACGUCUUGACGGUACCUAAUCAGAAAGCCACGGCUAACCACGUG